RNAcentral lists this ribosomal RNA (253 nucleotides) under uncultured bacterium. RNAcentral's name for it is "partial 16S ribosomal RNA". It matches the Rfam family "Bacterial small subunit ribosomal RNA", at positions 524 to 776 of the family's 1533-position model. The record is from RNAcentral.
UACAGAGGUCUCAAGCGUUGUUCGGAUUCAUUGGGCGUGAAGGGUGCGUAGGCGGCGCGGUAAGUCGGGUGUGAAAUCUCGGGGCUUAACUCCGAAACUGCAUUCGAUACUGCCGUGCUUGAGGACUGGAGAGGAGACUGGAAUUUACGGUGUAGCGGUGAAAUGCGCAGAUAUCAGGAGGAACACCGAUGGCGAAGGCAGGUCUCUGGGCCGAUACUGACGCUGAGGAGCGAAAGCGUGGGGAGCGAACAGG